Molecule: long non-coding RNA, 728 nt
Filed under: Agrilus planipennis (emerald ash borer)
Lineage: Eukaryota; Metazoa; Arthropoda; Insecta; Coleoptera; Buprestidae
Description: uncharacterized LOC108740550, transcript variant X4
Source: RNAcentral
UUUUACUUGCUUUUUUGUAUUUUUAUUCUAUUUCAUUAUAUAUUUACUUCAUACAAUAGUUAAUUUGUUAUUUCUACAGAUUCCAUCAAAGAUAAAUGAGAGAGAAGAUUGAAGUUUAUUUUUGAUGCUACUGAAAAAGCAAGUCGUCUCCUAUGGUGUUUUAUCUGUUAAGUUAUCAUCUUGGAGACUUAUAGUUAAUUAAGGAACACUAGAAAACUCCAGAUGCCAUUAAAUUAAGGAGCAUUCGUUGUAUCAGUCCUCAUUUGCUCCACAAAAUAAAUGUGUACUUAAAGUCCUAAAGAAAGCAUGGAAGUGCCUUUUUUCCAUUGGGAAUGAAGACAGUGUGCUGUUGCUGUAGGAAGGAUUCAUGACAGUAAAUUUAUUGUCUAACGAACAAAUGAGAAGAAAAAUUGCAGUUAAUUUUGAUGCUGUAGAAACAACCGUUGCUUUUGGGGCAUUGGUUGUCUCAGUCAUCAAGUGGCUGUGCCUAUGGUCCUAAAAAAAGCAUGAAAACGCCAUUUUUCCAUUGAGAACGGAGACAGUGUGCUGUUGCUGAAGAAAGGAUUUAUGACAAUGAACUGAUUGUCGUAACAAAUUAGAAGGAAUUGGUGCUACUGAAACAACCGAUGCUUUUGAUGUUUUCAUCUUGCAACAUUAUGCAGUAAGUUUUGGCCCUGAGAAUGGGAGGCAAAUUGAAAUUAAUUUGGAAGCCACUGAAACAAGAAAUU